RNAcentral lists this ribosomal RNA (871 nucleotides) under Klebsiella sp. AO32. Its description in RNAcentral is "bacterial SSU rRNA". It matches the Rfam family "Bacterial small subunit ribosomal RNA", at positions 550 to 1420 of the family's 1533-position model. The record is from RNAcentral. Lineage: Bacteria; Pseudomonadati; Pseudomonadota; Gammaproteobacteria; Enterobacterales; Enterobacteriaceae.
AUUACUGGGCGUAAAGCGCACGCAGGCGGUCUGUCAAGUCGGAUGUGAAAUCCCCGGGCUCAMCCUKGGAACUGCAUUCGAAACUGGCAGGCUAGAGUCUUGUAGAGGGGGGUAGAAUUCCAGGUGUAGCGGUGAAAUGCGUAGAGAUCUGGAGGAAUACCGGUGGCGAAGGCGGCCCCCUGGACAAAGACUGACGCUCAGGUGCGAAAGCGUGGGGAGCAAACAGGAUUAGAUACCCUGGUAGUCCACGCUGUAAACGAUGUCGAUUUGGAGGUUGUGCCCUUGAGGCGUGGCUUCCGGAGCUAACGCGUUAAAUCGACCGCCUGGGGAGUACGGCCGCAAGGUUAAAACUCAAAUGAAUUGACGGGGGCCCGCACAAGCGGUGGAGCAUGUGGUUUAAUUCGAUGCAACGCGAAGAACCUUACCUGGUCUUGACAUCCACAGAACUUUCCAGAGAUGGAUUGGUGCCUUCGGGAACUGUGAGACAGGUGCUGCAUGGCUGUCGUCAGCUCGUGUUGUGAAAUGUUGGGUUAAGUCCCGCAACGAGCGCAACCCUUAUCCUUUGUUGCCAGCGGUYMGGCCGGGAACUCAAAGGAGACUGCCAGUGAUAAACUGGAGGAAGGUGGGGAUGACGUCAAGUCAUCAUGGCCCCUUACSACCAGGGCUACACACGUGCUACAAUGGCAUAUACAAAGAGAAGCGACCUCKCGAGAGCAAGCGGACCUCAUAAAGUAUGUCGUACUCCSGAUUGGAGUCUGCAACUCGACUCCAUGAAGUCUGAAUCGCUAGUAAUCGUARAUCAGAAUGCUACGGWGAAUACGUUCCMGGGCCUUGUWCRSACCGCCCGUCACACSAUGAKAGUGGGUUGYAA